GAAAUAUGAUGCUCGAUAAAAAGCUGCUAACUUUUUUUUUUAAUGGUUAAAUUCCAUUUAUAUUUCU
This 67-nucleotide transfer RNA is filed under the name Tripteroides tasmaniensis. Its description in RNAcentral is "tRNA-Ser". Lineage: Eukaryota; Metazoa; Arthropoda; Insecta; Diptera; Culicidae. The record is from RNAcentral.